UAAAAACCAUACCUGUAGUGUCGCACUUCUCACUUCAGUAUUAUGUAGUUAAAAAUGUAUCAAGUUAGUUUUCUAUGAUUUCAUUUUUAUUUUUUCAUCAACUUUUUCAUUAAUAUUUCGUUAAAUUAUAUACAAAAAACUUUAAAUUUUCUAUCUAGAUUUAUUGAAUAUUCACUUUAGUAUUCUUUAGUUUUAACUUUGUCACUCAUAUAAUGAAAAAAAUUAGUAGAAUCGAUAAUAAACCUUAAACCCUAAAUCAACAAAAAAAUCACAUGACACUAAAUUGAUACACUUUAAACCACAAGGUGUGAAACAACCGGGGUGGAAUUUAAAGUUUUUCCUAAAUUAAAAUCCAAAGGCUAAAUUGCAUUUUGGUCCUCAAACUAUGAAGCGCAUAACACUUCGAUCCUCAAAUGUUAAUUUGUUAUAAUUUCAAGUCGGAAUACUUUAGUUAUUGCAAUUAAGUCCUAUAGUAUAAUUUAGUUGGUUAAAUAAUAAUAUAUCGUUUAUGUGGUAAUGAUACAACAGUAUGAGUUGUACCGACUGUCCCUAGCGCAAGUGGCAAAGGGUUUGGCUGUUGGUAUCCGAGGUCCCGAGUUCGAAUCCGAAUUGAUUCACAUAUUCAGCUAAGUUUAUUUUUAAAUGAAAUAAACGAAACGGAUAGCAUGCUAUCUAUCUCUCUCAAAAACAAAAAAAAGAUACAACAGUAUGAAAUUUAAUUGCAAUAAUUUAAAAAGUUGAAUCAAAAGUUAUAAUAUAUUAAAAUUUGAGAAAUGAAAUGUCACUAGUUUAUAGUUUGGGGAUCAAUAGUGCAAUUUAGCCAAAUCCACAUCUAAACUCUCCUACUAAUUGAUCUCUCAUUACAGCCUGUUUCAGAGCCCAUAACCCCCACGAGCUCUCAAAUAUUUUAAUUUAAAAAAAAUAAAAAACAAAUAAAACAAUCACAACAUUAAGCAAAAACCUUAAAAAAUGUUAAAACCAUUUCCUCCCAUCUCCAUCAUCAUCUACAUAAUAUAUAUAACCAAAAACUCUAACUUCGUUUUCUCUGACCGUCGCGAAUGAUCUCUCUGUUUCUUUGGUCCAAAUGAAGCAGAGAUAAGAGAAAAAAAAAAAAAAAAAAAAAUUCAGCAGAGAAAGAGGAGCCACAUCGCAAUGCCUAACUAUUCUAAGUUGCUUCUCUUCUGCUUGUUCUUGUCCGUGACCUUGUUCUUCUCCUGCAAUGCAGGAGGGGCCGCGAGCAGCUUUGACGAGACGUNAAAACAAUAGGUUAAAAAUGUUAAACUAUAGACUUGAAUACUAAAUUCUUUUAACUGUCUUAAAUUUUAAUCGGCGCUAUGCUAUAAUAAAUUUUUUAGUUAGCUUAAUUUGCAGACUCAUGUAUAACAUCAUCCUGCUUAGAUAAUUCACUUAAAAAAAAGAAAAAAAAAAAAGAAGAUGAAUCCAAUAAUGCAUAUGUGGGAAUGAAUCCUCUCCUAGGGCUUCUAUAGCCCCAGUAGUUCUACAAAAGGAGAUAAAAAUUUAUAAUAAAAAAGGACUAUUUCAAGUGUCAGAUGACUCUGUACUUUUCAACUAGGUUUGUUCUAGGAGUUCAAAAAAAAAAAAAAAUUUAUAUUUUCCCAAAACUUCCAUUAAUAUUUCUUUUUGUUUAAAAGGGCAUGUGAGAAAGUGUAUAAUUAAAGAGCCAAAUUUUUUAUUGUUGUUGUAUAAAUAGAUUAUUUAAGGAGUCUCUGAUGUAAACAGCAGUGGAUUCAGAGGAAUUAUUAGUGCUUUUUGUAAAAGCAGAUUUAACAUCUGAAAAAAGUCAAAUCACCUUUUUUUUUUAAGUCCCUAUAAUUGUUAUUUAAGUUGGGUUUAGUAAAAUUAUUUAGUAGCUUUCUAUUAAAUUAAGCCCUUUUAAUUUCUAUGCAAGAUAUGUAUGUUAUCUAACAACUUCAAGAUCAAGCAAGUGUUUCACUCAAGAAAGUAUCCACUUAAUGCUAAGUAUUUGUUCGGCCCGCUUUAAUUUGUAUUUUUAGUUACUGAAUCUGUAAUGUGGUAUUUUUCAAAUAGAAAAAUUUAAAAUUUUUGUUACGAUGAGAGGUAAAUAUAUGAUUUGGACGCUCUAAAAUUUUUUUAGUGAAUUAUAGUGUAGUGUUUGUUGAAUAAUAUUGUACUCUAAAGUAAGACCAAAUAGAUCAUCAGUAUAUUUUCACACUUUUCACAGUUAUUUUCUUUCCACCCUAAACCAAAAAGUUAACCUAAUAGUCUCUAUGUAACUUUGCUAUGAAAACUUUAAGAAAAGAGCUUUAUUAUUAGCUUCAAUCUUCAUCAAGUAGGUUAAAAAAGCUUAAUAAACUCUCUCUCUCUCUCUCACACACAAAAGAAGAUGAAAAGGACAACCUCAACUCAUAUGAUAGCACAUUCUAUCCACAUUUGAUGUUUGGAACAUGUCUCCAAUUAAAUUAAAGGAUAAACUUUAAAAACCAUACCUGUAGUGUCGCACUUCUCACUUUAAUAUUUGUAGUUAAAAAUGUAUCAAGUUAGUUUUCUAUGGUUUCAUUUUUAUUUUUUCGUCAACUUUUUCAUUAAUAUUUUUUGUUAAAUUAUAUACAAAAAACUUUAAAUUUUCUAUCUAGAUUUAUUGAAUAUUCACUUUAGUAUCCUUUAGUUUUAACUUUGUCACUGAUGUAACAAAAAAAAUUAAUAGAAUCGAUAAUAAACCCUAAACCCUAAAUCAACAUAAAACUACAUGACACUAAAUUGAUACACUUUAAACCACAAGGUGUGAAACCACCGGGGUGGAAUUUAAAGUUUUUCCUAAAUUAAAAUCCAAAGGCUAAAUUGCAUUUUGGUCCUCAAACUAUGAAGCGCGUAACACUUCGAUCCUCAAACGUUAAUUUGUUAUAAUUUCAAGUCGGAAUACUUUAGUUAUUGUAAUUAAGUCCUAUAGUAUAAUUUAGUUGGUUAAAUAAUAAUAUAUCGUUUAUGUGAUAAUGAUACAACAGUAUGAGUUGUACCGACUGUCCCUAGCGCAAGUGGCAAAGGGUUUGACGGUUGGUAUCCGAGGUCCCGAGUUCGAAUCCUAGUUGAUUCACAUAUUCAGCUAAAUUUAUUUUUAAAUGAAAUAAACGAAACGGAUAGCAUGCUAUCUAUCUCUCUCAAAAACAAAGAAAGAUACAACAGUAUGAAAUUUAAUUGCAAUAAUUUAAAAAGUUGAAUCAAAAGUUAUAGUAUAUUAAAAUUUGAGAAAUGAAAUGU
RNAcentral lists this long non-coding RNA (3237 nucleotides) under Ananas comosus (pineapple). RNAcentral describes it as "long non-coding RNA (ACOM_LNC012601)". The record is from RNAcentral. Lineage: Eukaryota; Viridiplantae; Streptophyta; Magnoliopsida; Poales; Bromeliaceae.